RNAcentral lists this ribosomal RNA (407 nucleotides) under uncultured bacterium. Its description in RNAcentral is "partial 16S ribosomal RNA". It matches the Rfam family "Bacterial small subunit ribosomal RNA", at positions 28 to 526 of the family's 1533-position model. The record is from RNAcentral.
GACGAACGCUGGCGGCGUGCUUAAUACAUGCAAGUAGGACGCAGUUGCGAGCGGGUGAGUAACGCUUAGGUAACUACCUAGUAGAGGGGGAUAACUAUUGGAAACGAUAGCGAAUACCGCAUACUAGUAGAUGGACCUGCGUUGUAUUAGUUAGUAGGUAGGGUAAUGGCCUACCGAGGCAACGAUACAUUGCCGACCUGAGGGGUGGGUACGCCACACUGGGACCGAGAAACGGCCCAGACUCCUAAGGGAGGGAGCAAGAGGGAAAUAUCGGCAAUGGGGGGAACCCUGACCGAGCAACGCCGCGUUAGUGAAGAAGGGUUUCGGAUCGGAAAGCUCUGUUGUUAAGGAAGCGUUACUUAACCAGAAAGGGACGGCUAACUACGUGCCAGCAGCCGCGGUAAUUC